GCCGGGUGUGGUGGCACACACCUGUAAUCCCAGCUACAUGGGAGGCUGAGGCAGGAGAAUUGCUUGAGCCUGGGAGGCAGAGGUUUCAGUGAGCCGAGGUCAUGCCACUGCACUCCAGCCUGGCCAACAGAGCAAGACUCUGUCUCAC
This 148-nucleotide non-coding RNA is filed under the name Nomascus leucogenys (northern white-cheeked gibbon). Lineage: Eukaryota; Metazoa; Chordata; Mammalia; Primates; Hylobatidae. The record is from Rfam by way of RNAcentral.